UCCUAUAUCAGAAAGCAUCUGCUCUCAGGCCAGAGCCACAUGUAUGGAGUGAGAUCUCUCAGAGAGGUGGUGGCUAUGGUAGGAUAAGCUGGGAGUGACCUGUCCCCAGCACACACCCUCGUUAGAACCCAGGGGAACAGAGGCUCUUAAAGGGCCAAUAUGAGGAGACAUUUUAUCAACGAUAGCUAUGCUACAUAGAUCAUUUAGAAGCCGGCACAUCCAGCUGUUGCUGAAACAAAGCAGGACUGCAUAAGAUUCCCUUGAUGCUAAAAUACAGAUUCCCAGGGACCACUCCCAGAGAUUCUGAUUCUGUAGGUCUAAGCCAGAGGUGGUGGUGCAUACCUGCAGUCCCAGCAACUCUGGAUGCUGAGACGGGAG
Piliocolobus tephrosceles (Ugandan red Colobus) is the source of this 378-nucleotide long non-coding RNA. RefSeq lists it as uncharacterized. The record is from RefSeq and is a predicted model, not a curated record. Lineage: Eukaryota; Metazoa; Chordata; Mammalia; Primates; Cercopithecidae. The transcript is spliced from 3 exons.